UACGGAGGGUGCAAACGUUGCUCGGAAUUAUUGGGCGUAAAGCGCACGUAGGCGGUCCAGUAAGUCGGGUGUGAAAUCCCUCGGCUCAACCGAGGAAGUGCAUUCGAAACUACUGAACUUGAGUAUGGAAGAGGGUCGCGGAAUUCCCGGUGUAGAGGUGAAAUUCGUAGAUAUCGGGAGGAACACCAGUGGCGAAGGCAAUCCCCUGGGCCUGCACUGACGCUCAUGCACGAAAGCGUGGGGAGCAAACAGG
Molecule: ribosomal RNA, 253 nt
Filed under: uncultured bacterium
Lineage: Bacteria
Description: partial 16S ribosomal RNA
Rfam family: Bacterial small subunit ribosomal RNA
Source: RNAcentral